Long non-coding RNA from Equus asinus (donkey), 1667 nucleotides. The record is from Ensembl. Lineage: Eukaryota; Metazoa; Chordata; Mammalia; Perissodactyla; Equidae.
CUCAGAUAUAGAAUUAGUAGACAGGUUAUUAAAAUAGUUAUACCUAUGUUUCAUAUGGUGACAAAGAUAGAGCAAAAUAUGAGCAUGUUAAGAGAGUCAUGGGAGAUUUUUAAAAACCCAAAUUAAACAUAUGGAAAUGAAAACUACAAUGCCUGAAAUGUAAAAUACAUUGGGGAAAUUAACAACUGAUUAGGUACUGCAGAGAAAAGAUUAUUGAGGUUGAAGGUAUACUAAUCAAAAAGAAACAGAAUGAAAAGACUGUAAACUUAUCAGUGAGCUGUGAGACAACUUUCAGUGACCUAAUAUUAUCAUUAAAGCUCCCAAAGAAUGAAGAAAGAGGAGGGGACUGAAAAAUUAUUUGAAGAAUAUGGUAAACAAUUUUCCAAAAUUGAUGAAAAUUAUAGACCUAAAAUUAAAACUCAGUGAACUGUAAUCAUAGGAAUGUAGAAAUAUAAACCAAGGCUGAUCAUAACCCAUGAUUUUAAAACAGUGAUGAAGUAAAGAGGAAGUCAGCAGAGAAAGGAGACUCAUUAUGUAAAGAAAACAAGAAUAAAAUCAGAUUUCCUUUGGGAAAACAAAGGUAGAAGGCAAUUGAGCAAAAUCCUCAUGCAGUGCUGAAAAGAAAAAUAUUUCCUUGAAUUCUAUGCAAAGUAAAAUAUUUUCGUAAAAAAGUAAAAAUUUGUGUAUGUCCAAUUUUCUCACAGACAUAAGAAAUGAAAGAAUUGAUUUAACAGCAUACCUGCACUAUAAAAAUGUUAAAGUCCUCCAGACAGAUAGAAAAUAAAAUCAGAUGAAAACUUAGAUCUACACAAGACAUGAUAAAAAUGUGUCCAAGUAGCUGUGAGGAGAGAAGAGGAGGAAGCGCCAGGGAGCCCAGAGCCACCAGACAGUGACGCCACAGAGCCACAGCCAUCACACCCGCACAGACACACACCGUCCUCCGCCGUUCAGGCCCGAGAGUCCCGUGAGGACUGGUGUCCCUACUACCGGCCUCCACGCUGUGAGCGCUUCCGCCGCCACCCCUCCUGGUUCACGUCGGGCUCCGAAUUGACUCGCUUCACAGGAUUCCCUCAUCCUGUGCUAACACAUCCACAAAUGAGCUCCACUCACCUUGCGAAGAGGGAGAACCGCGCGAAAACGGAAUGGAAGCCGAAGAUCUGGCGUGACCGCUGCCCUCUGGGAAGUGUCGCUCCAACCUGAACAUCUCCGGGCGCCGCGGCUCGUCAGAAAGGCCGCCGAAGCGCGGAAGUCCCGGUGGAACGGCACCGGGAGAACCGCCCGGAGCCGGGCCCGAGCGCAGGUGUCUCCGCCAGGAGCGCGACGCGAGGGCGCGUGCGCGGGCACGGAGCCUGCGCGGAGGCCGCUGGUGCGCGUGCUCGGCCCAGAGGCGCCGCUGCGCCGGGGAGGCAGAGCAGGGUGGCCUGGCGCCGGCUCCGAGCGUCCGGCCUGUGCGCGCAGAGCCGCGCGGGAGGGUCGGCGGGGCGGCCCCGGGGCGAGAGCGCACGGCGGGUGUGAGCUCUGAGGGCGGGGCCCCGGGCGAGUCCCCUCAGGCGGCUGCAGCCUGGGGACAGCACGUGGGGCAAGUAACUCCUGAUACCGCCUGGAAUGAGCUGGUUUAUUCAGUGUCUGUUAGCUGCGUUUAAAAGGUGUGAAGGAGUGAAGUAAUG